UACGUAGGGUGCAAGCGUUAAUCGGAAUUACUGGGCGUAAAGCGUGCGCAGGCGGUGAUGUAAGACAGUUGUGAAAUCCCCGGGCUCAACCUGGGAACUGCAUCUGUGAUUGCAUCGCUGGAGUGCGGCAGAGGGGGAUGGAAUUCCGCGUGUAGCAGUGAAAUGCGUAGAUAUGCGGAGGAACACCGAUGGCGAAGGCAAUCCCCUGGGCCUGCACUGACGCUCAUGCACGAAAGCGUGGGGAGCAAACAGG
This 253-nucleotide ribosomal RNA is filed under the name uncultured bacterium. RNAcentral's name for it is "partial 16S ribosomal RNA". It matches the Rfam family "Bacterial small subunit ribosomal RNA", at positions 524 to 776 of the family's 1533-position model. The record is from RNAcentral.